This 253-nucleotide ribosomal RNA is filed under the name uncultured bacterium. Its description in RNAcentral is "partial 16S ribosomal RNA". It matches the Rfam family "Bacterial small subunit ribosomal RNA", at positions 524 to 776 of the family's 1533-position model. The record is from RNAcentral.
CACGUAGGGGACGAGCGUUGUCCGGAUUCAUUGGGCGUAAAGCGCACGUAGGCGGCGCAGCAAGUUGGGGGUGAAAUCCCGAGGCUCAACCUCGGAAUUGCCUUCAAAACUGCUGUGCUCGAGUUCGGAAGAGGUGAGUGGAAUUCCCAGUGUAGAGGUGAAAUUCGUAGAGAUUGGGAAGAACACCAGUGGCGAAGGCGGCUCACUGGUCCGCAACUGACGCUGAGGUGCGAAAGCGUGGGGAGCAAACAGG